RNAcentral lists this ribosomal RNA (492 nucleotides) under uncultured bacterium. RNAcentral describes it as "partial 16S ribosomal RNA". It matches the Rfam family "Bacterial small subunit ribosomal RNA", at positions 29 to 507 of the family's 1533-position model. The record is from RNAcentral.
AGUGAACGCUGGCGGUAGGCCUAACACAUGCAAGUCGAACGGCAGCACAGUAAGAGCUUGCUCUUACGGGUGGCGAGUGGCGGGCGGGUGAGGCAUACAUCGGAAUCUAAUUUUUCGUGGGGGAUAACGUAGGGAAACUUACGCUAAUACCGCAUACGUCCUACGGGUGAAAGCAGGGGAUCUUCGGACCUUUCGCGAUUGAAUGAGCUGAUGUCGGAUUAGCUAGUUGGCGGGGUAAAGGCCCACCAAGGCGACGAUCCGUAGCUGAUCUGAGAGGAUGAUCAGCCACACUGGAACUGAGACACGAUCCAGACUCCUACGGGAGGCAGCAGUGGGGAAUAUUGGACAAUGGGCGCAAGCCUGAUCCAGCCAUACCGCGUGGGUGAAGAAGGCCUUCGGGUUGUAAAGCCCUUUUGUUGGGAAAGAAAAGCAGCAGGUUAAUACCCCGCUGUUCUGACGGUACCCAAAGAAUAAGCACCGGCUAACUUCGUG